UAUCACAAUAGUUUAGUUGCCGC
This 23-nucleotide microRNA is filed under the name Pristionchus pacificus. RNAcentral's name for it is "ppc-miR-2246". The record is from miRBase by way of RNAcentral. Lineage: Eukaryota; Metazoa; Nematoda; Chromadorea; Rhabditida; Neodiplogasteridae.